UACGUAGGGGGCAAGCGUUGUCCGGAGUUACUGGGCGUAAAGCGCCCGCAGGCGGUCAGCUGCGUGAGUGGUGACAGUCCUCGGCUUAACCGAGGAAGCGCUGCUCAAACGGGCUAACUUGAGGACCAGAGAGGGACACGGAACUCCGAGUGGAGCGGUGAAAUGCGUAGAGCUUCGGAAGAACACCAAAGGCGUAGGCAGUGUCCUGGCUGGCUCCUGACGCUCAUGGGCGAAAGCUAGGGGAGCAAACGGG
RNAcentral lists this ribosomal RNA (253 nucleotides) under uncultured bacterium. RNAcentral describes it as "partial 16S ribosomal RNA". It matches the Rfam family "Bacterial small subunit ribosomal RNA", at positions 524 to 776 of the family's 1533-position model. The record is from RNAcentral.